ACAAUGGAUCUCUUGGUUCUCGCAUCGAUGAAGAACGCAGCGAAUUGCGAUAUGUAAUGUGAAUUGCAGAAUUCAGUGAAUCAUCGAAUCUUUGAACGCACCUUGCGCCCUUUGGUAUUCCGAAGGGCAUGCCUGUUUGAGUGUCAUUAAAUUCUCAACUUCAACACUUUUUUGUAUUGAAGCUUGGAUGUUGGAGGGUCUUGCGGGCAUAUAUUAAUGUCAGCUCCUCUUAAAUGCAUUAGCAGAACCUGUGUUCGGCUCUGGUUUGAUAAUCCUAUCUAUGCCAUUGCUGAAAUGUCAUUGUUCAGCUUCUAAUGGUCCAUUGGACUGUCUCUUCAGAGGCAUAUAUUUUGACUUGACCUCAAAUCAGGUAGGACUACCCGCUGAACUUAAGCAUAUCAAUAAGCGGAG
RNAcentral lists this ribosomal RNA (411 nucleotides) under uncultured fungus. Its description in RNAcentral is "eukaryotic LSU rRNA". The stretch from base 1 to 146 matches the Rfam family "5.8S ribosomal RNA". The record is from RNAcentral. Lineage: Eukaryota; Fungi.